Molecule: unclassified non-coding RNA, 262 nt
Filed under: plant metagenome
Description: partial contains small subunit ribosomal RNA, internal transcribed spacer 1, and 5.8S ribosomal RNA
Source: RNAcentral
UCUCCGUUGGUGAACCAGCGGAGGGAUCAUUACCGAGUUUACAACUCCCAAACCCCCUGUGAACUUAUACCAUUUACUGUUGCUUCUGCGGGUCAUGGCCCCGGGGAAGGACAGCGGUCGCCGUCAGGCCUCAGCUGCCCGCCCCCGGAAACAGGCGCCCGCCGGGGAACUCAAACUCUUCUGUAUUUCUUUAUCUAAUAUAUACUGUCUGAGUAAAAACUAAAAUGAAUCAAAACUUUCAACAACGGAUCUCUUGGUUCUG